This 243-nucleotide unclassified non-coding RNA is filed under the name uncultured Sordariales. RNAcentral describes it as "sequence contains 5.8S rRNA gene, ITS2, 28S rRNA gene". The record is from RNAcentral. Lineage: Eukaryota; Fungi; Ascomycota; Sordariomycetes; Sordariales.
AACGCACAUUGCGCCCGCUAGUAUUCUGGCGGGCAUGCCUGUUCGAGCGUCAUUUCAACCAUCAAGCCCCGGGCUUGUGUUGGGGCACUGCGGCUGCCGCAGGCCCCCAAAAGCAGUGGCGGACUCGCUGUCAUACCGAGCGCAGUAGCACAUCUCGCUCAGGGCGUGGCGGCGGGCACCGGCCGUAAAAUACCUACACCUAAGGUUGACCUCGGAUCAGGUAGGAAUACCCGCUGAACUUAA